CUUUGCCACCAGCUGGAAUGCAUCAGGCACAUCAUGACUGCUUCAGAAAAUAUUGCUUUGACUGAAGAAAACUGCAGGAACAGACCUAUGUCAAAUGAUUCUGCCCUGUAGCCUCUACUGAUGACUGUGCUCCACUGCAGCCUGCCUUAUUCAGCAUCUCCUCCUUCAGCUACCUGCCUGCCUGAGAUCACCCAGCAGGUGCGCGACCUCCUAGACUGCGUGACAACAGACUCAGUAAGGAAGGUAGCUACACAGGUGCCCUUGAAACACCCCUACAACCUGCCCCACCCCGUUCUCAAACCUCCUGAUUGGCCAGUCCUUAGACCAACUCUGCAGAGGCAUAGGUUCUCAUGAAGGGUAGUUUUCUGAGCUCCCAACUUUGAACAUAU
Molecule: long non-coding RNA, 389 nt
Filed under: Fukomys damarensis (Damara mole-rat)
Lineage: Eukaryota; Metazoa; Chordata; Mammalia; Rodentia; Bathyergidae
Description: lncRNA (ENSFDAG00000024366.1)
Source: RNAcentral